This is a non-coding RNA of Rattus norvegicus (Norway rat), 19462 nucleotides long. The record is from RefSeq and is a predicted model, not a curated record. NCBI's taxonomy places the organism in Eukaryota, Metazoa, Chordata, Mammalia, Rodentia, Muridae.
CGGCACGGUUCCCGGCCAGACCGCGGCGGGGCGCGCGACUCCCCGUGGCGACGGCGGCGAGCGCACGGGGACUCAGCCUCGUCCUCUGUCACCCGUGCCGCUGCUCCGAGCAGCGAUUCGCAUCACCACCCCGACCCCGCGUGGCUCCCACCGUCCUGGCUGUUCUGACAGGUGGCCGGGCUGGGAGAGCGCAGCGCGCGCCGGGUUCGCGGGGCCGCGCGCCCGGACAUGGCUUAAUAAAUUGUGUCUUCCUUACAGUCCGGAGAGAGAGGGGAAAGAAGCUAAGUGACUGAAAUCAGCUCUGCUUUGAAGCAGAUCCGUCCGUGGUCCAGGGUUAGGAAUCUUUCAACCCCCUCUUUCCAGAAAACAUCUUGGCUUCUUCUGAUGGCCGCGCUAUUUUUAUACCUUGGUCCAAAAGGAGCCAGCCAUGGAGUGGAAAAAAUGAUUUUUAAAAAUUCUUCCUUUAAAUAAGCAAAAGGGAAUGAGCUGUAGUUGAGGUUUAUAGCGCACCAGCAAAGCGAAGGACACAGGGACUUCCAAUUUAUAAUCAGAGUUGCACAUCUCUGUGAGUGGAUCGCUCACAAAGUUCUCAGUUGAUUUGACCGGCAGUGUUUCCUCCACUGAAAACUGCUGACAAGUAUUCAGGGGGCAUUUUGCCUUGACCUGGGAAAUCUAGACUGCCUGGCUAACUGGCUAAAUGAUAAUGUGGAAGGGCAGCGCAGCGCUCUGGAGGAUUUCCAGGGUUGGUGUUUUUUUUUUUUUUUUUUUUUUAAAGCCUGUGGGAGGCUGGUCUUUGAGCUGCUAGUGAGUGAAGCUUGAGUCACAAGGACUCACCAUCCUAGAAUAGUGAGCAGUAAGGACUUCAGAGGGCCUAUAGAACUUCACCGCGUAGUUGUGAACAAGAUUUUUCACGCCCUUAACUGUUUCACCUGUCAAAUUAGUUUAAUUAUUAAUGUGGACUGUAUACAAAUGCUAAAGGGUGCGACUGAAAAGUCAUUAAUUAUAUCAUAAUUCAUACUCUUCCUCUUUCUGUCCUCCGGCUUUUGUGGCUGUGGUGGGGCAGUAAGGGCUUAGGAGUUUUUGAUGGCUGUCAUCGUUGCCUAGCUGCUUCUCCUCACUUUGUCCCCACCAUGAGAAAGAUACAAGCCAGGAAACAAGGAACAAGGGCAGGGAGAGGUUAGGGAUUCAGGAGGGGUGAUACUGAUCUGAAGUGACUGUCCGGCACCACACAAGCCUGGAGGUACUCUUGCAAGGAGCUAUGGCGAUGGUAUAACCCAAGGGUCAAGGAUUAAGGCCCUUAGCCAGAUGUGGUGGACUUGCCUAUAAUUCCAGUCCUUGGGAGGCUGAGAGAAGAGGAUCACAAGCUGAGUGCCAAUCGAGGCUGCAUACAGAGAAACAAAACAGAAGCAGCCAUCAAAGCAAAACAGUGUGAGAGGAGACAGAGUGCCUCCAGAAUAAAUGCUAAAUAGCUGUUAGCUGACAUGUCAGUACCGUUGACUUCACCGUGGUCAUUGUCGUCUCUAAUAUUAUCAAAUCUGAGAUGAUACUAGGGACCCUAAGAAGACAAAGUACAAAGGGCAGCUGAAGUUGGAGUAUUUUCCAGGCAGAGGCCAUUUGGGGCUGGGUAUGGGGAUGCCAGUGGCCACCUGCAGCUUUCUUGGGGGUUACGUCUCUCACGUGUGUAACCCUGUGCUGAGAAUGCCAGACAUACUCAUUGGAGCAGAAUGUUCCAAGAAGUACCCACUUAGGAAAGUAAAAUAUGUUUUCUAACCUUCUGGAAAGAGUGUAAAUGGUACUUUUCUUUUUAAAAAAGAGUCCCCCACCCCUUGAAGCCACUUUGUGUAUUGGGUGCAAGAAUUACGCUAAGGGCUUGUCAGGAAUAACUUUCAGAAGAGUAAGAAUGUACUUAGUGUGGAUGUUACGUUAAAACUGAAUACUGACUUUCAGAUGUGCUGUCACUCAGGACACUCAGUCGCCCUGGACAGAAGAUGCGGUCAGCUUUAAUUGUCCACUUGACACAAUCCAGAGUCACCUCUGGGAAGAGAGUCAAAACUGAUGGGUAGUCUACAUCAGGUUUGCCUGUGGGCAUGUCUCUGUUAGAUGCUCUUUGUUGUUGAGGAAGACGUAGCCCUGUGUGGGCAAUGCCUAAGCUUCGUAAGAGUGAAGAAAGCCGACUUGAGCAAGCCAGGGUGUGCAUAUGUGCCUUGGUCGUGGAUACGGUUAGCUGCUCGAAUCCCUGCUCUGACUUCCCCAAAAUGAUGGGUUAUGACAUGAAAUUGUAAACCAAAUAAACUCUUUCCUCCCCUAAACUGGAGCUGUGUUACCCUGGAAAGAGAAGCGAAACUAGAAAGAAGGGGAAAGUGAAGCUGGAGAGUAGUUGCACAAGGCUGUGUGAUUUGUAAAGGCCAUAGUCACCAAAGGCAGCCAGGACUACAGAUGGCUCUUACAUUGGCCUUCUGCAUUAGGCCUAUGCUAUUUUGAUCUACUGGUUUUAAGGAUUUCCUUUAAAAGCAAAGAAUUAACUUUAAAAAAGAAGUCACUUCAGUAACAGCAUUGACAGUUCUGCUUCUGAGCAGGACCUAGUACGUAAACAAGGUGCUAUUCUGCAAUGUCAAACAUGGAGCAAUCUUUUACCUUACAUGUGUGUCUAUUGGUUUUUGAAAUAGAUCAGAUUCCAAAAGUAAGACUGUGUUUAGGACUUUUAGUACACUUUCGUAUCUUCAUCAUUCUGUUUAACAAUGAUAUUCCUUAAGAUAAUUCAUUUUCCUAUUAAUGUAAUAUUGUAAUCUGACCUGCAAUUACAGUUGCAAAGAGCUCAGCUCUGGGCCCCAGCCUCAACCAGGAAUAAGCAGUGUCUUACAUACAGUCAGUGAAAAAAAUGUUCCCCACUGCAUGCAAAUUUCUGUGGCUUCCUGCAAGCAGCAUUGCCCAGUGCAGGGCCAGCGCCAAAGUCAGAGGAAGUCGUAAAUGCUGGCAGCAGCUGUCUCCCCAUGAUUGUUCUGGCUCUCUCUUCUGCUCUCAUAACUGUAUACUCCCAUGCUAGAAAUCAUCAGGUAGGACAGCUAGGAGCAUCUAGUGUAACUGUAUCUCCCGUUGUCCUGUUGGAUGGAUACUUUGAAACAUUUCUCUAGAACCCAUAGCUCAGGGAGAUAGAAGACAAGACUCUACCACUGAAUUGUUCUGAGUUGGAAUGUCUGGUAGGUUAUAUGCACUUGUCUUGAUUUUAGUUUUUCCCUGAUUGUGGUGAGGAAGAAAGACUAGAUGUGAACUGGGUGAUCACAAUGUUUGUGUUCGCGAUUUUAGGAACUGCUGUAUCAGGUGUAUCAUCGUCCUUCAAGGAGCAUUUCCUUGUUGAUGAGCUCUUUGAUGACUGGAAUUUGCUGCUUUUGCAGAUGCUGGGAAUUAUUUCUAAUGGUGCAAAGAUUCUCGAUUUCUUUUUUUCUUUUUAUACAGUGUUGGGUAUUAAACCUAGGGCCGUAAGCAUGCUAGGCAAAUGUUUUAGCACUGAGCUGUAUCUCAGCCCACAUGUUUCUGCCAAACAGAAUAGGUACAGAACUUGAUCAACUGUGAGAGUAAAACAAGAGCUUUAGAUAAAUAAAGGGAAUGCAUCAACCAUUGUGGAGGCAUUAGUGACUCUCUGGACACCCAGGAUUGAAAUACAUAGACCAUAAGACUGACACUUUUAUAUUACUUACUCUAUUAGUUAACUUCUCUGUGGCUGUGACAAAAUAUCAAGACCCAAAGCAACUUACAUCCAGAAGGAAGAAUUUAAUUCGGCUUAUGGUUCCAGAGUGAGAGUCCAUAAUGGGGGGAGGGGGUGGGGGAGGCAUGGCAACAAGCUAUCAGGGCAGGAAGCCGAGAGGUCACACGCUCCAAACAGAAACAACAAUCUAGAAGUGGGGCAAGACUGUAAGCUUUCAAGCUUGCCCCAAGUGAUAAGCUUCCUACAGCUAGUUUACACUACCUCCCUAACAGAGGAUCAAGUGUUCAAAUACUUAAGCUUACGGGGAGCAUUUCUCAUUCAAACUACCAUACUUACUAUGCAGCAGAUAUGGACCCAAAUGUUUAUAUCAUAACUCACUCACUUCUAUGAAUUAGGAACAAUUGCUGUCUUCAUUUAUAAGUGGGGAACGGAACCCAGGCAAGUUAUGCACGUUUUGAUUUUAUUUCACACAGCUAAUUAAGGUCAGAACUGGGAUUUACAUUCAGGCAGUCUGUCGCCAGCAUCCUGCCCUCUUACUCACUAUAUCAUGCUGUGUCUUGGUUUUGUUUUAAAAUAAAGAAGUAACGAUAUUUACUAUCUAUUAAGUAUUGUGUCAGACAGCCAAGAUUCCGGCACUGGUGAGGGAGGUGCUGCCUGGUCCCCAUCCCUUAAUGAGGAGAUAGUGGCAGCUGAUAGCUACUGGAGCAGGGAAAAUCAUUCUCUUUUGAGGUUGUUUCCCAUACACUAGUGGGUGACCCCACACCCAUGUACAUGUGGGCAGCGCUAAUUGGAUUUAGUGCAAUUAAAAAAGAAAGGCAUGAAAUGGGAGGGGGGACAUGUUGAGGGGAUAUGGGGAGAGUUGGAGGCGGGAAAUGAAUGGAUAUGAUCAUAUUUUAUUGUAUGUAUGUGUAAAAUUCUCACAAAGAAAAUUAUAAUAAAGAAAUGAGAGCAGUUGAAAAUGCUUGUUAUUGAUUUGAUGAGUGUAAAUUGUACAUAUAUUGAAAUACCACAUUGUACUCAAUAGAUCAGUAGUUAUUAUUUGUUAAUAAUUCAACUAAAACAAUUAAAAAUUAAGAUUUUUCUAAAAAGAGAAAGACAUGCCAAUCAGAUGACGUAGCUGGUAAAAGUGCUUGUCUGACAAAUGUAGGAACCAACCCCCAAUGGAGGGUCAGAACUGAUUCCCCAAGGUCAUCUUCUGACCUUUAUACAUUCAUCAUAGACAUGCACCUGCAUUCACAUACGCACGCACACACACACACACACACACACACACACACACACACACACACACCAUGCAACAUGAUAAUCAUACAAUUAAAAAAUAUAAAGGUAGAAUAAAACAUAAGGCAUACCACUCAUCAUUAGGAUGACUUUUUUUUUUUAUAGAAGAUAAAGACAGGUGCUAAGAAAGAAUAAAGUUGGGCUGGAGAGAUGAUGGCUCAGUGGUUAGGAGCACUGGUUGCUCCUCCAGAGGUCCUGAGUUCAAUUCCCAGCAACCACAUGAUGGUUCACAACCAUCUCUAAUGGGAUCUGAUGCCCUCUUUUGGUGUGUCUGAAACAGUGUACUCAUAUACAUUAAAUAAAUAGAUCUUUUAUAAAAAAAGAAAGAAUAAAGUUACAUAAAGGUUUAAUUCAAGAAUGACCCCAAGGUACCAAAAACCUGUAUUUAAAGCUAUUUGGGAGGCUGAGGCAGGAGGAUCACAAGACCAAAUUUAGCCUCUGCAGCUUGGACCCUGUCUCAGAAUAAAAUGUAAAAGGGGGGCUGGGGGUAUGGCUCUUUGGCAGAGCACCUGUCCGGCAUGUACCAAGCCCAGAGAGAGACAGAGAUAGAGCUAGAGAUAGACACAGAGAGAGAGACAGACAGAGAGGCAGACAGACAGGGACAGAGGGAGGUGGGAUGGGGAGACAGCUCAGUGGUAAAGGAUCCUGCUAUACAAGCCCAAUGACUUGCAUUUGAUGCCGAGAGCCCACAUGGAGGUGGAAGGAUAGUACUGACUCCAUAAAGUUGUCCUCUGGUGUCAUGCCUGCAUCCUCACCCACACAUACAUAUACACAAUAAUAAUAUUCAAUAAAACAAAGUUUAAAGAAAAACAACGACUCAGGGCUGGAGAACUACUCAGCGGUUAUCAGCAAGGACCUGUCUGGCAGAGGACUCCUCACAUGCAUCUGUGAAGGCUGGUUUACUUCCCUAUAGGCUAGCGGAGAGGAGACACAGCAUCCUGUGCCUCCCCAGGGAGAGAGGCAGAGCUCAGAGACAAGGGCUCCUGUCUUAGCUCUCCACACAGAGCUAGAGAAGAGCUAGGAUGAUGUCACAAACCCCCUGGUUUGCAUCUUUUUUAACAGGAGCAUGAAAAGGCAGGAGGUAACUCUACUGGUCUUGCUGGAGGACCCUUAAGAAGCAGGGCCAUUUGAGUCUUUUCCAUAGCAAAGUUACUUAAUAAUAUCUCAAAGAAUUUUAAUAAAGGUUGAAGCAAGAGAAAUAUCCUAUUCCUGGCCCCAUACGCAUCCAAGCUUAUAUAUAGCCCAGGCUGGCUUUGAACUCAUGAUGAUCUCUAUGCUUCAUCUACCCAUGUGCUUGGAUUACAAGCAUACAUGGCUAUAGCCAGCUUCCAGGUCUCUAUUCUCACAGUAUAGAUUCAUCAUUGCAAAGAGCUCACAUGUAUGCAUGCAUGCACAUGGGACCCAAGUGCAACUCAAUGAAGUAAUACCUUGGGGAGCAGAAAGGAGAACAGAAAUUAUAAGCAGAACAGAAGACACUGUGUGAGCAUCUGCACAAGCUGUGCAUGAAGAACAGAGGACAACUUUUGGGAGUCAGUUCUCAUCUUCCCUGCUCAGGCAGGCUCUCUUAUUUCUGCCAGAGUGUAUGGUAGGCUAGCUGGUUCAUUAGCUUCUCCCGUGUCCACCUCCCAUCUCACCACACAGUAAGAGUGCUGCGACAACAGAUGUGCACCACUCCAUCGAGCUUUUCCCUUGGGUUGCAGACAUUUUGCUGAACUCGGAUGAUCAGGCUUGUGCAAGCAAGUGCUUUUACCUGCCGAGCCAUCUCCCUGACCCACAUUCCCUUGUAAAAUUCAAAACCAUCUCAAUCAAAAGUACAGUAAAGUAAAAGUGCAAAGUAUAGUAAGCAAAAAGGGGAAAAGCACCCACAUUUCGACCACUCAUAAAUUAGUAAUACCUGUUAACAUUUGGACACACUUCCUUCUAAUUUUUCAAAAACAAAAUUGUCUUGUGCAUGCUACAUUGUAAUUUUUAAUAUGUGUUGACAACCCUCCAAGUCAAUUAACAUGGGCCUAUGUUAUAAAUAAUGUGAAAGUAUUAUGGUUUACUAAAGUAGUUAUUAUUUGGGCGUCAAGGUAAUUCCCAGUUUUGCAAAAUAAAUGUUAGAGCUUGAGGAAACAGUCUGAAGCAUGUUUUCUGUGCUUCUGCAAAUACCCCUGUAUGCAUUUCUAGUAGUAGAAUUAUUUGUUUAAAAAAAUUAAGGUUCUUUUUAGUUUGGCUUUUGUGUGUGUGCGUGAAUGUAUGCAUGUGUGUUCAGUGUAUGUCUGUGUACUCACCCAUAUAUUCAUGCAGCAGCCAGAAGGACAUUUGGUACGCUGUCGGUUCUCGGUUUGGGUUAGGCUGGCUGUCUAGCUGGGCUUACAGGAGCAUGCAGUCAUGCCGAGCUUUUUACCUAUGUGGAUGGCAUCCCUGCUCAGGUCUUUAUGGCCUUACCCAGCUUUCGUUCUUCAUGUUUUUAUCAUGUUCACUUCUGGGACAGGCACAUCACUUUCUGCUCCUGCCCCUGGCUCUGCAAAUGCUCAUUUCCUUGCAUUCAAAUCCCACUCUCCCCCAACCAUUUACUAUUUAUUUAAAAUUCAUCAUUCUUUAAAGUGUUUGUUUGUUCAUUUUUGACUCCUUGCCUUUUUUUUUUUUUCUUCUUUUUUCUUUUUUUCGGAGCUGGGGACUGAACCCAGGGCCUUGCACUUGCUAGGCAAGUGCUCUACCACUGAGCUAAAUCCCCAACCCCGACUCCUUGCCUUUUUUAAGCCAUGAAAACAGUCGUGUAUGUCUUCCUUUUGCCUCAACUGCAACCAGAGAUGAUGCUCACUGUUCCUGGGUUUCCUUCCUAUCACCUUAUUCCUUGAAUAAUGGUUUGUUUGCUUGUUUUUGUUUUUUCUUUGUGUAACAGUUUAAUUCAGUCAAGGCCUCUUUGAGUAUAUACCAACCUUUUUAAAUAAAAUUCUAUCACAAAGUAAGAUUUCAAAUCACAUGAUGGAUUAUGUUUUCCUGGGGAUGAGUGAAUAGAAAAUGUGAGAUUUUUUUUUCAUGUUUUUGUGUGCCUUUUCCUGUGGAGUUGGAAUUUGGGACAAAACAUGUCUCUCUGCUUAGAAACCUCGCAAAGCUUCCUGGCUUCCUCUCUGAUUGUUCUCUCGAAACACAGGUAAAACUUACUGUAGCCCAACUACAACUAGAGUAAGAAAUGCAGAACUGUAAUCAACCCCAAUCUCUUCCUCCCUCCUUUUCUUUUGUUGAUUUUGCAUAUGUAUGUGUGAUGAAUAUGAACAUGCAUAUGAACAUGUUGUGUUCACAUGUGUGUGGGUACAUGUGUAUAUGUAUGUGUGUGAAUGGAUGUGCACUGUGUGUGGAGUCUGCGUUGACCUCAGGUGUCAACCUUCCUUGGUCACGUUCUCUCACUAAACCCCAAACAUGUCAUUUUAGCUAGCCUUGUGUAUUAGUCAGGUUCUCUAGAGUCACAGAACUUAUGCAAUGUCUUUCUGUAUUGAGGGAAUUUAUCAUGAUGACUUACAGUCUGUAGUCCGACUCCCCAGCAGUGGUCAGCUGUGAACGGGAAGUCCAAGAACCUAGGAGUUGCUCAGUCCCACAAGGCUGGUUCACCUGGUCUUCUAUAGAAGUGGAUUCCAAUAGAUGUGCGGGCAAGUAAAUGCAAGUGGUGAAGAAGAGAGCAUCUUCCUUCUUCCAAUGUCCUUAUGUCAGUCUCCAGCAGAAGAUGUGUAGAUUAAAGGUGUGCAGCACCACACAGGGAUCUGGGACUUGUUUUGUCCUAGGCUGACCUUGAACUCAGAGAUCUCCUUGCCUUUGUCUCCUGGGAUUAAAGGUAUGUUCUACCUGGCCUGGACCUAAGCUUUUCAUAGCUAUUAUGCAUAAAAAUCAACAUGCCAAGAUCCAGGUCAGAAACUUGUGUCUUCUAGCCUCAAGAUCUGGAUCACAGGUGAGCCCUCCAAUUCUGGAUUGUAGUUCAUUCCAGAUAUACUCAAGUUGACAACCAGGAAUAGCCAUUACAUCUGGCUAGCCACCUUGCCCUAGGGGUUCCUUGUCUCUGCCUUCCACACAUUGGCAUUAUAGAAAGGUAAUGAGACACGCCUGGUCACUACUUGAGUCCUGGCUGUUCUCCUCACCCUUGCAUGGCAACCCAUUGAACCACCUUCCCAGACUCCUUCUUCCACUCCCUUCCAUUCUCUCCUCCUCUCUUUCUCCCUUUCUCCCUCCCUCCUUCCUUCCAUCUUUUACAUCUCUAUUUUUGAUGUCUUUAUGUAUGUAUGUAUGUAUGUAUGUAUGUAUGUAUGUAUGUUACUCAAGUGCCAUGGUCCAUGUGUAGAGGUCAGAGGAUCACCAUGUGGGUUCUAGGGAAUCAAAUAUCAGACUUGGCAGCAAAGGCUUUUACCAGCUGGGCCAUCUUUCUCUUGUCUCUUGAUUAAAAGAAAAGGGUUCUUGCUGCAGACCCAGGAUUUCCCUGGCUAAACACUUCCUACCAGGGACACUCCUGGGCCCUAGGAGCCACAGAGUCUAAGACAAAGGUAGACCAUUUUUUGUUAUGCUCCCUGUCUUCUGUUCCAAUCUCUCUAGACUCUAGACUGACUUCUAGCUCUACUGCAGAAGAAGCUCUAAUGCCUGCAAGAGCCAUUUCUCCCACCCAGCCUCCACGCCCUAGGGACUCACCCUCUUCCAGACCCUGACUGCUCUAGCUCUUUCUUGCUGCCCAUCUCAGCCCUUCUUCCUAGCCCAUUUCCAUGUGGUGUCAUUGACUGACCUGCAGGUUCACUGUACUAGGAACUUCAUAGCCAAUAUACUGACUGCAUAGUAUCCAGAGUAGGCCACAGUAACCAAAGAGUGGAACACCCAUUCUGCAAAGACAAGGCCAGAUGUGUACACCUAAAAUAUCAUAACUCUAGGUACCUAAAUCCAAGUGCAAAGUCACCAACAUGAACAGCCUAGACAAUACCCUCCAGAAGCCAGUAAGCCCACUGCAGUAAGCCCAGAGAAAUGGAAUUCAGCGGAAGUAUGAGACAAGGACUUCAGAGCAGCAAUUCUGAAUAUCUUCAGUAAACUUAAAGAGAAUAUGAACAAAUUAAUGAAGAAAGACCAUUAAAACAGGAGCAGUUCUUUGAAAGACAUGUUACAAGACGUGGAAAUGAGAAUUUCAGGUCUUGAAGACAAGGUAGAAGAGAGAACUAGUGCAAUCAGAGAAAGUGUUCAAUCUAAAAAAAAAAAAAAUCAGACACAAGACAUGAAGGAAAUUUAGGACACUAUAAGAUGACCAAAUCUACAAAUAAUAGGGAUAGAGGAAGAAGAAAAAGAAACUUAGAUCAAAAGCAUAGAAAAUAAAAUCAUGAAAUCAUGGAAGAAAAUUUCCCUAAAUGCCUCCUAUCAAGGUACAAGUGUACAGAACACCAAAUAGACAGGGCUAGAAAAGAAAUUCCCUGUGACAUAGUAAUCAAGACAUUAAAUGCACAGAACAAAGAGAGGAUAGUAAAAGCUGCAAGGAGAAAAGUGACUUAAGUGACAUGUAAAGGCUGUUCCAAGAGAAUAACACCUGACUUCUCAUUGGAGACUCUAAAAGCCAGAAGGGCCUGGACGGAUGUUCUACAAGCUCUAAGAGACCUCAGAUGGCAGCCCAGACUAGUAUACCCAGCAAAACUUCCAGCCCCUUUCCUUUCAGAUGGAGAAAGAAAAACAUUACAGGAUAAAAACCAAAUUUAAGUAAUUUCUACUAACCCGGCUCUAUAGAAGGCACUAAAAGGAAAACUUCAGCUGAGGAGGUUAACCACAUCCGAGAAAAUAUAAGAAUAAGGAAUUCCAGACAAGAAAAUCAAAAGUGGGGACUUACACCACAGCAACAAAAUAACAGGAAUAAGCAAAAACUGUUCAUUCGUAACUCUCAAUAUUAAUGAUCUCAAUUCCCCAGUGAAAGAACUAAAAAAAUAAAAUAAAAUAAAAUAAAAUAAAUGACCCAAUUUAAAAGAUGAGGUACGGAACUAAGCAAAGUUCUCAAAAGAUGAAAUAAAAAUCACCAAGAAACUUAGAAAUGUUCAACACCUCAGCCAUCAGGGAAAAUGUGAGUUAUAACUGCUUUAAAGUUUAUCUUACGCCAUAUAGAAUGGCCAAGAUCAAUACCAUAAAUAAUAGCACAUGCUGGCCAGAGUGAGGGGAAAGGGAACACUAAUCCAUUGCUGGUGGGAGUGCACACUGGUGCAAACACUGUGGAAAUCGGUGUGGCUGUCUUCAGGAAGCUGGGAAUCCAUCUACCUCAAAGUCUACUCUUGGACUCUACGCUCUACUGCAGACGCAGAGCUACUUGUUGACCCGGCCUCAUUGCUUCCCUCUCCAUAAGAGGCAGACGCUGCACACAGCAGAGAUGGCCGUCGACAAGUGUGGUACGCUUAUACUGUGGAGUGCUAGUCAGCAGUUAAGACAAAUGAAAUUCCUGGUAAACAGAUGAAGCUAGAAGGGAAACAUUUCAAGUGAGGUAACCUAGACCCGAAAGACUAAUACUUAAUGUUCUCUCUUACAUGUAGGUGAUAGCUUUUAAGCCUUCAAAAUAUGUGGUUUGAACAACCACAGAGGAUAAUUGCCUAGCAAGGCACUAGGUGGGAGGAGACGAUCUCCCAAGGAAAGGGAAAUAGAAUAUAUUGUUAUGGAGAGACAAAGUAGUAAUUAGGACAGAAGGAAUAGUAGGGAGGGGAUGAGAGAGAAAGGUGAAGGAGAGAAUAUUAGACAGCUAACAACAGAGGCCAUUGAAAAAACGUAUAGAAACCCACUACUGAAGAUUUCUAAAAUAUAUGCGUCUGUGAAAGAAACGUGAAUGGAGUCAUCAAAUAACAACUAUGAUUUUCAGACACACAUGAACUUACAGAGAUCGUGACAGCUCACACAGGAUCAAGACAUCCUAAGUCUCAGCACUGAGAGGGGAAAGUGGACACAGGUCCUCACUCCUAACCAAGAAGGUAGCUACAGUUGAUAUCUGCUGGCAGACUAAAAACUCAGUUUUCUCCAGUGGAGUCUCUUAGGUAUAGUAACUAUACAUGCAGGCAGGCCAGCAGUACUGGGUUAAUCCAACAGGUACUCAAUGGUAUUUUUGUGGACUUUUUGUUUCAUUCUACUUUGUUUGGACAUUUUUUUCCCCUCCGUCUUUAUUAACUUGGCUAUUUCUUUUUUUUCCAGAGCUGGGAACCGAACCCAGGGCCUUGCACUUGCUAGGCAAGCGCUCUACCACUGAGCUAAAUCCCCAACCCCAACUUGGCUAUUUCUUAUUUACAUUUCAAUUGUUAUUCCCUUUCCCAGUUUCCAGGCCAACAUCCCCCAGCCCCUCCCCUUCCCCUUCUUGAUGGGUGUUCCCUUCCCCAUCCUCCCCCCAUUGCCGCCCUCCCCCCAACAAUCACGUUCACUGGGGGUUCAGUCUUGGCAAGACCAAGGGCUUCCCCUUCCACUGGUGCUCUUACUAGGAUAUUCAUUGCUACCUAUGAGCUUGGAGCCCAGGAUAAGUCCAUGUAUAGUCUUUAGGUAGUGGCUUAGUCCCUGGAAGCUCUGGUUGCUUGACAUUGUUGUACAUAUGGGGUCUCGAGCCCCUUCAAGCUCUUCCAGUUGUUUGGACAUUUUUAAAUCUUUUGGUCUUUUGUUUGUUUGCUUGCUUUUAUUUGGGGGUCGUGUUUUUUUGUUUUUUUGUUUUUUGUUUUUUUUUGAAAGAUGAGAGCAAACUUGAAUGGGUAGGGAAGUGGGGAAGAUCUUGGAGGAAUCGUCAGAGAGGAAAACAUGAUCAAAAUAUAUUGUUUGAAAAGAAAUUUUUAAAUUCGUCUUGUGAUUCCUAAGCCAACCAGUCUGGUGUUUUAUACAUUAUUUCAUUCAUUCGUUCAUUCAUUCCAUGUACAGGGUGUGUUAUAUUUUGAGUUCUGUGCGAGACUCUGAAAAUAUGAAUCAAAAUGAUUCAUUGGCCUUGCCUUCGGUGAUCAUGGAAGCUAACCAAAAUGAAGCCAGAGGAGGAGGGAGCCUCUCUUGACUUUUGGCCUUUGUCCUGGCCAUGCUGUGCCUACAGAAGGGCCAGUGUCAGGCUCAUGGCCCUGGGGAUGCAUUACCCAAAACAUUUCUGGAAAUCCUUUCAGAAAUCCUUGCAGAGAUCAGAGAACACUGCGUCUUAACGACAAGCUCAGUGUACGAGAGCACUUUGCUCACAGGGAGAAUGGGCUCUUUUUUUUUUUAAAGUGUUCAAAAACAUAGAAAGUACAGAUAAUUUUGUACCAAAUAUUUGAGAGUCCUCUGGAUGUAAAUGAAUAGUUGGCAGCAUCAGCCUCUUACUGCUUCUGCUUUGAGAUUUUUAAGUUACAAAAAGGGAAUGUUACUGAAAAAUGAACUCUCUGUUCAGUUCCCUCACAUGACUACUUUCAGGAGGUUGAGGGGUGUUUGUGUAUGGUGUGUGUGUGUGUGUGUGUGUGAAAGCAUGCAUACUUAUCCAUAAGCAGUGUAUUUUGUGUGAUCACGAACAUUCAAACAGACCUAUUAAAUUAGGUAGAACCAGCUUGUAAUAAAUAUAAGAAAUGGGGCUUGGGGAUAUAGGUCCAUGGGAGCACCCUUGCUCAUUUACAUCUGAGCGAGGCCUUAGGUGCAAUCAGGGGAGACAGCUAUAAAGCCUUGGGUCUGUUUGGGGGUGCCUUCUCAAAUCGUCCCAAGAACACAUGCCAAAAGAAGUUCUGAAAGUGAUGUCAGGAAGACAGGUUUAUUGGAAUAGCUUGCAUGGUGCCACUCACGCGGGACCGUAAGGACCAGCAGUUGUUUAUAUAAUAUGUGCAGCCUAAUAGUAUUUUCCAACCAGUCCUCACCACUGUAGUCCGCUACUCAUUUCCCAGAAUGGCCAGGCAGGACACUUUGUAAAAAGCCUAUUUUAUUCCUCCCUCGGCUGCUGUACCACAAGAUGCAUUUAAGAUAUGUAUCUAAAGUCACUGUCACAUGUUUAUUUCUGAGUCCAUGUUUUUAAAAGCACAGAAUGAAGAUGUUUGUCUCCAAGCCUUGGGACUCAGAAAAACAUGUCGAUUAGCAAAGGGCAUGUGUCUGCUCAGCAGUCUGUUUGGAAGCUUUGCUUGUGUAACGGAACCAUCACCCCCGAGCUCUGGAUGUCUGGUCUAUCUGAUGCACCACAGCUCACACCAGAGAAACUUAGAGGAAUGAGCAUGGGUACAAAUGCUUUCUCCUAGGGAUUCUUGCUGCCCUGCACUCCUGUGCUCCCCCCUCAGCAUGUGCCUUUAUUAGGCCACUGGAGAUUAUAUAUUAUAUAUGUAUAUGCCAGUAUAUAUAUGUAUGUGUAUUUAUGUGUGUAUGUACACACACACACACACACACACACACACACACACACACACACUCACUCAGGUUUCUGAUGUGUGAGCAUAUCAUGAAGAUGCUCAACUGGGCCCACAUUGACUGGGGAGGCUGGAGUCCCGCAGGUUGAACAACCCUGUACUAAUUUACACCUCAGUGAGUUUCCCUUCCUUAUGUGAGUGGGGACAUCUCAGGCUCAAAGUCCAACUGGGAAAGCAGCAGGUUAUAUCCUGCUAGUUACUAUAGAUGUCUCAGGCCUCUGUUGUAGUGUUUCCUCCUAGAAAUGAGACUGUCCCCUUCCUUUUCUACUUUAUCUACUACUAUCAUUCAUUCCAAAUCAUUGUCACUCCCCACAGUAUCUGUAGAAGGGCAACUGAACUGACCUAUUCUGCAAUCAAAUUUAUGUACUUGAUACUUUCAUUCAGAUCAACAGAUUUUUCUAGGCAUUAUGGGAAAUUUAAAAACAAGACAACACAUCUCUAUGUGAGUCAUAUGAUCAGUCAAGUUAACAUAAAUGGAACAUUAGAGAAUAUAGACACUGUAGGACUGUGCGACUGGAUGCAGGUUAAGGGUAGAAUCCAGCAUGGGAGAGGCUGUGGCUCUGAGGUGCAAGGACACAUUUGCUUUGUUUUGUUUUGUUAAAGAACAAUGGGGCUUUUAUUGCUCAUAAUGCCUAGUGCCUGCAUUCUUUUUUUUAUUGGAUGUUUUAUGUAUUUACAUUUCAAAUGUUAUCCCCUUUCCCAGUUCCCUCCUAUCCCAUCCCCCCUCCUCUGCUUCUAUGAGGAUGCUCCCACUCCCACCUACUCACUCCCACCUCACCACCCUGGCAUUCCCUACACUGGGGAAAUGAGCCUUCACAGGACCAAGGGCUUCUCCUCCUAUUGAUGCCAGACAAUGCCAUCCUCUGCUACAUAUGUGGCUGGAGCCAUGGGUCCCUCCAUGUGUACUCAUUGGUUGGUGGUUUAGUCCCUGGGAGCUCUGGUUGGUUGCCAUUGUUGUUCUUCCUUUGGCAUUGCAAACCCUUUCUCAAGUCCUUUCCCCGAACUCUUCCAUUGGGGGCCCCGUGCUCAGUCUGAUGGUUGACUGCGAGCGUCUUAAUCUGUAUUGGUGAGGCUCUGGUAGAGCCUCUCAGGAGGCAUCCAUAUCAGGCUCCUGUGCAAGGACACAUUUCUGAGGAGGUGAGGUGUCAGCCAACUCUGAAGGGCAGAGCUGUGGCGGACACUUGGAGCAGGUAAGGUGGGAAGGCUAGUGAGCAGUGUGAGAAUGCACGGGGUGGGGGGGGAUUCCUGAGCAGGGUGGGAAGACAUUCUGGUGUGAAGAGAUGUUUGGGAUAAAGAAGGGGUCUGAUUUAUGGACAUUGAUAGGGAACAAGUGGGAAUCGAGAAGCAGUUAAGUAUACAUUCUCUCCCUCAUUUCUGCGUGCUGAUUCGAUGCCUGGCAGUGUUCUAAGAUUGGAUGGAAUUGUGAAUGGCCUAGGUUGGGCUCCUGUGUUAAAAGAAGAAAUAUUCCCAAGUGGAGACAAUAGACAAAGCAUUAACUAAACAAGGGUGUAUCAGUUACUCUUCAAAGACAUGAAAGGGCGUCUGAGGUAUGGGCGCUUUAAACAGCAUGCUUAGUAUGUGAGAGCAUCUCUGGGCGAGGUCAGGCAGGAGUCAGUACAGUGUGGAGGAAGCCAACAGGAGUGUGAAAGGAGUAAAGAGGAGCUGAGCAGGGAUGAGAGGAAGCAGGUGGCAGCCCUAGAAUCACAGAGAGGUCCUAGAGGCAGUAGAAGAAAGCUCAAGCAUUAGAAUGAUGGAAUAGAAGGAAGACGUGAUUGACUUUUGUGUUUAAAAGAUCAAUGCAGGGCCUGGGAAGACGGGUCAGUGUGCAAAGCACUUGCUACACAUGUGUGAGGACCGAAGUUCGGAUCCCUAGUGAAAGCUACGUAGGCAGAUGGUUCUCUCAUAGUCACAGCCAGGAGGCAAAGACAGGAAUCUCUGGAGCAAGCUGGCCAGCCAGUGUAGCAACCAGAGAUCCCGCCUCAAUUUAUAAUGUGUAGAGUGCACAAGAAAUAAAAAGCACCCAGUGUCAACCUGUAGCCUCUAAUUUUAUUCACGAGCAUCUACAUCCAUGAGUAUGGGAAUAUGCAUACGUAUAUGCACACACCUCACACGAUCUUGGGACAAAAAAAAUAUCGUUCUACUACAUAGAGAAACAAGAGACGGAAGCAAAGAGAUGGGGGGGACAUGGUAUGGUAUAGGUGCAGCUGAUAGGGUAAGACCAGAGAACUGCUUGGAGGGAGAGAGAAGAGGUAGCUGGGGCUCUUUCUGAGAGGAGAAUCAAAAUAUCUCCAUAGUUGGAGGUAUGGGUGUAUAUUGACGAUGUUUUAACAUUUAUUUAUGUUAUGUAUAUGAGUACACUGUCGCUGUCUUCAGAAGAGGGCAUCGGAUUCCAUUACAGAUGGUUGUGAGCCACCAUGUGGUUACUGGGAUUUGAACUCAGGACCUCUGGAAGAGCAGUCAGUGCUCUUAAUCGCUGAGCCAUCUCUCCAGCCCUAUACUGACAUUUUUAAAUAGAGAUUAAAAUGUCUGAACAGAAGUAGGUUUGCAGGAUGAUUAAAAUUUGAAUUGGGGAUGAAAAUUUAGCUGACAUUUGUGGUCCUGUCACUUGGAACAUGAAGAUGGGAGAGUGAGGAGUUCAAGGUCAGCCUGGGCUACAGAAGCUGCCAUUUGAAAAAAAAAAACAGAAGCCAAUUGGGAACACAUGAAGUCUAAUACGUUUAUUGACAUUCUCUGCAGUAUUUUUGUAUCCAAGAGAGGUUAUUACUGGAUAUGUUCAUGUGAACAUCUGUGUCGUGUAUAUUCACACUGAUAAAGAAAAGAAAGUUUUAAAAAAGACCCUGACAACAUUUUAAAAGGCCAGAAAGUUGUAUCAUGACAUCGUUUUAUUGAAAUAUAAGCAUGUACAUCUCUCUGUGGCAGUGACCAGAUGAGAACACAUGAUGGGGGUAGGAAGAUGUGUCAUAAGUGUUGUCCAUGGCAGAUGAGGUUGUUCGAGGUUUUGACUUGUAUUUGGGGCAUGCAGAGAUGGUGCUCUCAAGGGUUUCUUCAGAGCCUUGUGCAUUUAAUAUCGUCAGGGUUCCUCUCUGGGCAAAUGAGAUAAAGGUGGUGUGGAUACAUUUAUGAAAUUUUAAUUAUUAUUGUUUAAACUUAAAAGUUAGUUUUGAGAGGAUGCGUUUGCAUUUCUCGUAUAGGGCUUUCCUUAAAUAAUCCUGCCCUGACCCAUCCAGAUGCAUGUAAAGUACCCACAGGGAGGCUUGAGACACAGACUUGGGGUUUGAGACCUAAGUCAUGGAAAAUGUUGAUUAGGAAGCCAUCUUCGAGGUGGGAAUAGGGACUGAAGGAUGGAUAUAUUUUGGGGGACCAUUGAUAUGGCUCAGCAGCUAAAGGCACUUGCCACCAAAUCUGAGGAAAUGAGUUCAGUCUGUAGGAGUCACAUGGUUGACAGAAGAAACGGGAUCCUGCAAGUUUUCUGACUUUCACUCUCUGUCUCUCUGUCUCUCUGUCUCUCAGUCUCUGUCUCUCUGUCUCUGUCUCUUUGUCUCUCUCUCUCUCUCACACACACACACACACACACACACACACACACACACACACACACACACACACUACAUUUUCUCCUGGAGAUGUACAGUAAGAAAUGAAAAAGAAUGGACUCAGAUACAGGAGUCGUACCAAAAGAGAACAGUGAAGAAGAGGAGGAGUGUGGCCAAGGUGUGGCAAGCUGGUACGUGACGUAGGAAAGGGAGCUGGUGCGGCCGUGUACAGCCAGGUGCCGGAUUUCAAGGGUGAAGCAGGAGCAUUGGCUUUGCCUUGUUGGUUGGUGGAAUCUCCAGAGACAGCAGUUUUAGGAACUGUUCGAGGAAGUCAGGUCUCACAGGGUUAGAGGUUGAGUCAAUGCAGAGGAAACAGAGGAAGCUGACAGAGGCCACUCCUUUUAAACAUCUGCACAGACAGAAAUGGGACAACGGUAACCAGAAACUCGAAGGAGUCUGCGACUUUACACAGAAAGAACACCACACAAGAAGGAUAUGCGAGAUUGAGAAAAAGGUUCUUUAGUCCAUUAAGUAACUAGGCGUGGAUGAAGAUGUUUAGAGUACUUGAUGCUGGCCAGUGAGUAACAAAUGCUAGCAUUUGUACUAGCAUCGAGGCUUUAAAAAUCUAGUUGUUCACAGAAUGCAGGGUCUCAUUAGGGCAUCUUCACAUUAAGUACAAUGAUAGACAUGGUGUUUUGGUCAUAUUUGUCUCCUCGUUACCCUCGCACCUUCUCUCUUCACUUUUGUUGAUCCUCUUCCAAACCUCAAGAAGUCUUCCUCUGUUUCCCCCACCUCUGUCUCUCUUUCACACACCCAUAUUCUUCACAUGAAAGAAAAUAUGCAAUACUUGUCUUUCUUGUUCCAGUACACCCUUGUGUAACCCUCUCUUCGUUCCCUUCUUCCCACACAGCCCCCUUCUACUUUCAUAGCAUUGAGUUCCCACAGCAAGUAAUAACAUUCUUCUUACAUAGGAGAUUUUGAGACAUGACACCUUCCUAGACAGCAUUGCCUUUAAGAAUGUGGUCCUCAUUUUAGUUUUCUUAUGUUUACAUUUAACUGCCUGAGUCUGGAGAGAUGGCUCAGUGGUUACGAACACUGGCUGCUCUCCCAGAGGACCUGGGUUUGAUUGCCAGAACCCACAUGACACCUCACAAUCAUCUAGGACUAAAAUUCCAGUAUAUAUCAAUAUGCUGACAGAACACCAUGGUCAAGGCAACUUAGAAAAGGAUGUAUUUGAUAGGGUUUGUGGUUGCAGAGGGUUAGGACCCAUCAUGGCAGAGCAAAGACACUGUGGCAAAACAGCUGAGAGCUCACAUCUUGAUUGGCAAGCAGGAGGCAGAGAGGACACUGGGAAUGACACAAAUCUUUAGAAACCUUAAUGUCCAGUGACAUGUCUCCCUCAACAAGGCCAUACCUCCAAAUCCUUCCCAAACAGUUCCACUGAGGAAACAUAUGAGCCUAUGGAGGCCAUUCUCGUUCAAACCACCACAGGAUCCAAUGUCCUCUUCUGCCCUUGGUGGGCACCAGGCAUGGAUGUUGCACACAGACGUACACAGAGGCAGAACACUCAUAAGAGUAAAUAAAUCUUGAGAAAAAAAAAA